This 492-nucleotide ribosomal RNA is filed under the name uncultured bacterium. RNAcentral's name for it is "partial 16S ribosomal RNA". It matches the Rfam family "Bacterial small subunit ribosomal RNA", at positions 29 to 507 of the family's 1533-position model. The record is from RNAcentral.
AGUGAACGCUGGCGGUAGGCCUAACACAUGCAAGUCGAACGGCAGCACAGUAAGUGCUUGCUCUUACGGGUGGCGAGUGGCGGACGGGUGAGGAAUACAUCGGAAUCUACUUUUUCGCGGGGGAUAACGUAGGGAAACUUACGCUAAUACCGCAUACGACCUACGGGUGAAAGCAGGGGAUCUUCUGACCUUGCGCGUGUGAAUGAGGCGAUGUCGGAUUAGCUAGUUGGCGGGGUAAAGGCCCACCAAGGGGACUAUCCGUAGCUGGUCUGAGAGGAUGAUCCACCACCCUGUCAGUGAGACUGGGCCCCGACUCCUGCGGUGGGCCGCAGUGCGGACUCUUGCACGAGGGGGCAGUGCCUGAUCCAGCCAUACCGCGUGGGUGCAGAAGGCCUUCUGGUUCUAGAGCCCUUUUGUUCUGAAGGAAGAGCAGCAGUUUAAUACCCCGCUGUUCUGACGGUACCCAAAGAAUAAGCCCCGGCUAACUUCGUG